RNAcentral lists this ribosomal RNA (870 nucleotides) under Brachybacterium paraconglomeratum. Its description in RNAcentral is "bacterial SSU rRNA". It matches the Rfam family "Bacterial small subunit ribosomal RNA", at positions 216 to 1097 of the family's 1533-position model. The record is from RNAcentral. Lineage: Bacteria; Bacillati; Actinomycetota; Actinomycetes; Micrococcales; Dermabacteraceae.
CGGUGGGGGAUGGACUCGCGGCCUAUCAGUUUGUUGGUGAGGUGAUGGCUCACCAAGACGAUGACGGGUAGCCGGCCUGAGAGGGCGACCGGCCACACUGGGACUGAGACACGGCCCAGACUCCUACGGGAGGCAGCAGUGGGGAAUAUUGCACAAUGGGCGAAAGCCUGAUGCAGCGACGCCGCGUGGGGGAUGACGGCCUUCGGGUUGUAAACCCCUUUCAAUAAGGAAGAAGCGAGAGUGACGGUACCUGCAGAAGAAGCGCCGGCUAACUACGUGCCAGCAGCCGCGGUAAUACGUAGGGCGCAAGCGUUGUCCGGAAUUAUUGGGCGUAAAGAGCUUGUAGGUGGCUUGUCGCGUCUGCCGUGAAAACCCGAGGCUCAACCUCGGGCGUGCGGUGGGUACGGGCAGGCUAGAGUGUGGUAGGGGAGACUGGAACUCCUGGUGUAGCGGUGAAAUGCGCAGAUAUCAGGAAGAACACCGAUGGCGAAGGCAGGUCUCUGGGCCAUUACUGACACUGAGAAGCGAAAGCAUGGGUAGCGAACAGGAUUAGAUACCCUGGUAGUCCAUGCCGUAAACGUUGGGCACUAGGUGUGGGGGACAUUCCACGUUUUCCGCGCCGUAGCUAACGCAUUAAGUGCCCCGCCUGGGGAGUACGGCCGCAAGGCUANAACUCAAAGGAAUUGACGGGGGGCCCGCACAAGCGGCGGAGCAUGCUGAUUAAUUCGAUGCAACGCGAAAAACCUUACCAAGGCUUGACAUGCACUGGACGGCUGCAGAGAUGUGGCUUUCUUUGGACUGGUGCACAGGUGGUGCAUGGUUGUCGUCAGCUCGUGUCGUGAGAUGUUGGGUUUAAUUCCCGCAACAAGC